This 744-nucleotide ribosomal RNA is filed under the name uncultured bacterium. RNAcentral describes it as "bacterial SSU rRNA". It matches the Rfam family "Bacterial small subunit ribosomal RNA", at positions 8 to 796 of the family's 1533-position model. The record is from RNAcentral.
AGAGUUUGAUCCUGGCUCAGAACGAACGCUGGCGGCAUGCCUAACACAUGCAAGUCGAACGAGACCUUCGGGUCUAGUGGCGCACGGGUGCGUAACGCGUGGGAAUCUGCCCUUCGGUUGGGAAUAACUCAGGGAAACUUGAGCUAAUACCUUAUAAUGUCUUCGGACCAAAGAUUUAUCGCCGAGGGAUGAGCCCGCGUAGGAUUAGCUAGUUGGUGGGGUAAUGGCCUACCAAGGCGACGAUCCUUAGCUGGUCUGAGAGGAUGAUCAGCCACACUGGGACUGAGACACGGCCCAGACUCCUACGGGAGGCAGCAGUGGGGAAUAUUGGACAAUGGGCGAAAGCCUGAUCCAGCAAUGCCGCGUGAGUGAUGAAGGCCUUAGGGUUGUAAAGCUCUUUUACCCGGGAUGAUAAUGACAGUACCGGGAGAAUAAGCUCCGGCUAACUCCGUGCCAGCAGCCGCGGUAAUACGGAGGGAGCUAGCGUUGUUCGGAAUUACUGGGCGUAAAAGCGCGCGUAGGCGGUUACUCAAGUCAGAGGUGAAAGCCCGGGGCUCAACCCCCGGAACUGCCUUUGAAACUAGGUAACUAGAAUCUUGGAGAGGUCAGUGGAAUUCCGAGUGUAGAGGUGAAAUUCGUAGAUAUUCGGAAGAACACCAGUGGCGAAGGCGACUGACUGGACAAGUAUUGACGCUGAGGUGCGAAAGCGUAGGGAGCAAACAGGAUUAGAUACCCUAGUAGUCC